This 1077-nucleotide unclassified non-coding RNA is filed under the name Hevea brasiliensis (rubber tree). The record is from RNAcentral. Lineage: Eukaryota; Viridiplantae; Streptophyta; Magnoliopsida; Malpighiales; Euphorbiaceae.
GGAGGUUACAGGUUCAAGUUGCGAAAACAGCAUUAUGGAGAGAGAGAAAAGGGUAAAGAAGGUUCAUCAAAAUACAAGAGGGGAAGGCAAACAUUUAAUUUUAUUUAGGCAAACACUCUUCCUUAUAAACAACUUUGCUAUAAAUUCGAUAAACUCAAUCAGAAAAAAACAUGGUAUAUCAUACAAAGAUAUGAAUGGGGACUAGACUCGAAAGUAUAGAAGAUCAUAGUCUAAAUUUUCUGGAAGCGUACGCGGAGAAGGGAAUUUGGGAAGAAAACUUGCGAUGUGGUUGGCCAUUUCUAAAUACGAUUUGUGCUUACUGAUGAUAAUCCCACCCUCAUUAGCACCAGCAAGCGGCAAGUCGUUAAUGCUGUUGGCGUUUUUCUGUUUUCCUACAACUAGGUUCUUAAAUGCCUUUUUCUUCAAAGACCAGCUUCCAGUUUUGAAAUUGAAAUGAUAUAAAGGAAGAAAUCGCUGCCCAUAAAUAGCUAUAAAUUCCAGAGCUGCAAGAAUGAACUCAAAUUCCUCAUUGGGCAUGUAGUAUGGGAAGCUAACUCUUGUCCAUCCUGGCUUUACUCCAUGAUAUCCCUUAUGUACGGCAGAUCUGAUAGCAAGGGAUCGAGCCUCACUGAUGUUGAGCAAAACAUGACCAUAAGGUCCAGCACAUGCACACCCACCUCUGGAUUGAAUGCCAAACAAAUCAUUAAGCAAAGAUGCAACAAAAGCUCCAUGAAGAGGCUUAUCCUUCUUGUUCCCUGUCUCUGCCCACAUGUAAAGAUCUCUUUCCUUUCCUUCGCUAGAUUCAACUUCUUCAAUUUCACUCGAGGAAGAGUUUGUAGUAUAAGAUACGAGGAAGGACAAUAUGGCUUGUCUCUUGACACUUGUGUUUCCUAAAACCCAUAUGUUCUUGUUGGACAUAAGCCUAUUUAAUGCCUUUUUUAUGUAAUAGGUUUCUUGUUUUUCUAUCAUUUGGUAGCCAAUGUAUUCUUUAACCCAGAAAGCCAAUGCUGCUCUAAUUGUUUGGAUUAUUUGUGGAGUCCCUCCAUUUUCUCUCUCUUCUAUCUCUUCCAAAUAUAA